UGCAUCUUGAGAGAAAAGCUUUAAUGCAUCUUGAGAGACAGAUGAUCAGCUUCCGAUUAGGGAGACCCCGAGCCAAGAAUCUCGUCCCCUUAUAAAGGCUCAUAAGCUCCGAGCAGUGCGUGUACAGCUGGGAUAGGUGGAUGACUCAUCACCCUAUAUGACGCCACGGGAGAGGCAAGACGAGGCAAGUGGAAAAACACUGGGCACAUGUGCACCAAUGUUGUUUACUUGAUCCGGCAGCGGAUGUCAGUGCCAUCUUGUAAUGGCGAAUGUGAGUGCGGCUCCUCACAUCUCCCCCUAUAUAAUUAUAUAGAAACACAGAGGCUAUAGGCCAGCCAAAUGCAGAGUGGAGAUAGAGGUCAACUCCCAAAAACUGGAUGCAGACCUUGUCUUGAGCAGGACUCCAGACUUUGUGUCCAGAGCAGGCCCAGACCCGUCCUUAUGUCUUUUUCUGGGGGAAGGGCAUUAUGAUAUAUAACCUUCAUGCAAGAUGACAUAUCUCCCAGAAGAGCCACAAGAAAAGCUGCAGGCCCUUUCUGUGAAGUGCUUAGCCUUGCAACUCUUUUGGCCUGCCAAACCCUGCUCACUCUAUUCCGUGCAAUGAGGUCAAGCCUCCGGAGGUGCAGGAGCUGAGCAGUCGGCGACCUAUUGCUUCAACAUGCUUAGCCAAAUGCCGGGGGAGAUUCCAUUCUCUAGGGCAGCGAGUGCCUGUGCAAACACUGCCUUAUCUUUUUUGUUUGGGUUUUGAGUCUACACACAGUCCAAAGCAUAAACACCACACCACUGCAGAGAAUUGUGCCAAAAAAGUCCCACCCCCACCCAUUCCUUAAAAUAAGAAACUGCUGAUGAAAUCCAGGAAGAGCCUGGGAAGGUCUCAUUGAACUCCCGACUAAUUUGAGGGGAGAAGGUGGAGUUCCGGCUUUUGAGGGUCCGAAGGGGCUCUUCGGUUCUGAAUCCGCCCCGUCCUCCGAGGGGUCUCCCGCAGCGCCGGCGAUGUCAACAAGUUCCCGGGUUUCAGCACCAGAUGUCCCGAGAGAUCGUCUCGCCAGCAAGAAGGACACAGGACACUCGGAUCCUUCUGCAGUAAAGCUUUAAUGCAUCUUGAGAGACAGAUGAUCAGCUUCCGAUUAGGGAGACCCCGAGCCAAGAAUCCCGUCCCCUUAUAAAGGCUCAUAAGCUCUGAGCAGUGUGUGUACAGCUGGGAUAGGUGGAUGACUCAUCACCCUAUAUGACGCCACGGGAGAGGCAAGAUGAGGCAAGUGGAAAAACACUGGGCACAUGUGCACCAACGUUGUUUACUUGAU
RNAcentral lists this long non-coding RNA (1304 nucleotides) under Cricetulus griseus (Chinese hamster). RNAcentral describes it as "lncRNA (ENSCGRG00015032300.1)". The record is from RNAcentral. Lineage: Eukaryota; Metazoa; Chordata; Mammalia; Rodentia; Cricetidae.